RNAcentral lists this ribosomal RNA (478 nucleotides) under uncultured bacterium. Its description in RNAcentral is "partial 16S ribosomal RNA". It matches the Rfam family "Bacterial small subunit ribosomal RNA", at positions 28 to 523 of the family's 1533-position model. The record is from RNAcentral.
GACGAACGCUGGCGGCGUGCUUAACACAUGCAAGUCGAACGGUAAGGCCCUUCGGGGCACACGAGUGGCGAACGGGUGAGUAACACGUGGGUGAUCUGCCCUGCACUUUGGGAUAAGCCUGGGAAACUGGGUCUAAUACUGGAUAGGACAAUGCGCUUCACGGUGUGUGGUGGCAAGCUUUUGCGGUGUGGGAUGGGCCCGCGGCCUAUCAGCUUGUUGGUGGGGUAAUGGCCGACCAAGGCGACGACGGGUAGCCAGCCUGAGAGGGUGACCGGCCACACUGGGACUGAGAUACGGCCCAGACUCCUACGGGAGGCAGAAGCGGGAAAUAUUGCACAAUGGGCGCAAGCCUGAUGCAGCGACGCCGCGUGAUGGAUGACGGCCUUCGGGUUGUAAACCUCUUUCAGUAGGGACGAAGCGCAAGUGACGGUACCUACAGAAGAAGGACCGGCCAACUACGUGCCAGCCGCCGCCGUAA